Molecule: ribosomal RNA, 620 nt
Filed under: Lactiplantibacillus plantarum
Lineage: Bacteria; Bacillati; Bacillota; Bacilli; Lactobacillales; Lactobacillaceae
Description: bacterial SSU rRNA
Rfam family: Bacterial small subunit ribosomal RNA
Source: RNAcentral
AACGAUGAAUGCUAAGUGUUGGAGGGUUUCCGCCCUUCAGUGCUGCAGCUAACGCAUUAAGCAUUCCGCCUGGGGAGUACGGCCGCAAGGCUGAAACUCAAAGGAAUUGACGGGGGCCCGCACAAGCGGUGGAGCAUGUGGUUUAAUUCGAAGCUACGCGAAGAACCUUACCAGGUCUUGACAUACUAUGCAAAUCUAAGAGAUUAGACGUUCCCUUCGGGGACAUGGAUACAGGUGGUGCAUGGUUGUCGUCAGCUCGUGUCGUGAGAUGUUGGGUUAAGUCCCGCAACGAGCGCAACCCUUAUUAUCAGUUGCCAGCAUUAAGUUGGGCACUCUGGUGAGACUGCCGGUGACAAACCGGAGGAAGGUGGGGAUGACGUCAAAUCAUCAUGCCCCUUAUGACCUGGGCUACACACGUGCUACAAUGGAUGGUACAACGAGUUGCGAACUCGCGAGAGUAAGCUAAUCUCUUAAAGCCAUUCUCAGUUCGGAUUGUAGGCUGCAACUCGCCUACAUGAAGUCGGAAUCGCUAGUAAUCGCGGAUCAGCAUGCCGCGGUGAAUACGUUCCCGGGCCUUGUACACACCGCCCGUCACACCAUGAGAGUUUGUAACACCCAAA